RNAcentral lists this transfer RNA (65 nucleotides) under Rhinebothrium sp. 1. RNAcentral's name for it is "tRNA-Ala". The record is from RNAcentral. Lineage: Eukaryota; Metazoa; Platyhelminthes; Cestoda; Rhinebothriidea; Rhinebothriidae.
AACGAGAUAGUUUAAUAAGAAUUUUGAGUUUGCGUCUCAGGGGUAGAAGUUACUUCUUUUCGUUA